GACGAACGCUGGCGGCGUGCCUAAUACAUGCAAGUCGAGCGGACCGAACAGGAGCUUGCUCUUGUUCGGUUAGCGGCGGACGGGUGAGUAACACGUGGGUAACCUGCCCGUAAGACCGGGAUAACUCCGGGAAACCGGAGCUAAUACCGGAUAACACCGAAGACCGCAUGGUCUUUGGUUGAAAGGCGGCUUCGGCUGCCACUUACGGAUGGGCCCGCGGCGCAUUAGCUAGUUGGUGAGGUAACGGCUCACCAAGGCGACGAUGCGUAGCCGGCCUGAGAGGGUGACCGGCCGCACUGGGACUGAGACACGGCCCAGACUCCUACGGGAGGCAGCAGUAGGGAAUCUUCCGCAAUGGACGAAAGUCUGACGGAGCGACGCCGCGUGAGCGAAGAAGGUCUUCGGAUCGUAAAGCUCUGUUGUUAGGGAAGAAGAAGCGUCGUUCGAACAGGGCGGCGCGGUGACGGUACCUAACGAGAAAGCCCCGGCUAACUACGUG
This 499-nucleotide ribosomal RNA is filed under the name uncultured bacterium. Its description in RNAcentral is "partial 16S ribosomal RNA". It matches the Rfam family "Bacterial small subunit ribosomal RNA", at positions 28 to 507 of the family's 1533-position model. The record is from RNAcentral.